UACAGAGGGUGCAAGCGUUAAUCGGAAUUACUGGGCGUAAAGGGUGUGUAGGUGGUUAGGUAAGUUAGAUGUGAAAUCCCCGGGCUCAACCUGGGAAUUGCGUUUAAAACUGUUUAACUAGAGUAUUGUAGAGGAUAGUGGAAUUUCCAGUGUAGCGGUGAAAUGCGUAGAUAUUGGAAGGAACACCAGUGGCGAAGGCGACUAUCUGGGCAAAUACUGACACUGAGACACGAGAGCAUGGGGAG
RNAcentral lists this ribosomal RNA (245 nucleotides) under uncultured Pseudomonas sp. Its description in RNAcentral is "partial 16S ribosomal RNA". It matches the Rfam family "Bacterial small subunit ribosomal RNA", at positions 524 to 768 of the family's 1533-position model. Lineage: Bacteria; Pseudomonadati; Pseudomonadota; Gammaproteobacteria; Pseudomonadales; Pseudomonadaceae. The record is from RNAcentral.